GACAACGGAUGCAGUGACCUCACACGACUACUACAAGAGCUCUAUAGCCUUCGGUCUAGAUGGCACCUACUGGCGCACCUUGAGGCGAAUAUGUACCUCAGAGCUCUUUUCUAACAAGAGGAUCAAAGAAACCAUAAUGGUCAGGCAAAAAAGUGUCGAUGAACUAAUCUUGUGGAUCGAAAAGGAAGCACAAAAGGGAUCUACUGGAAUUGUGGUUAGACAAUUUGUGUACCCAGCAUUGUUGAACAUGAUAGGGAAUCUCACCCUUUCGCGGAACCUCAUGGAUCCACAGUCCAAAAUUUCCUCUGAGUUUUGCUCUGCUGUGGAUGGUUUCAAUCAGUGCCUGGGCAGUCCCAAUAUAUCCGACUUCUUGCCCUGGCUAAAGAGAUUUGACCUGCAAGGAAUAAGGAGGAAAAUGGAUCAGGAUUUGGGGAAAGCCCUGGAGAUUAUUUCAGUAUUUGUGAAGGAACGCCAGGAGAAGAGGGAACAACAAGCAGUAUCAUCAGAGCAGCAGGACUUUUGGAUGUGUUGUUGGAUUACAGGGGCAGUGGAAAUGAUGAAGCGGCUAAGUUAUCAGAUUCCCAAGUCACAAUAUGCCUUCUGGUAAGUAACACGAUUAAUAACAAAGGGCCAACAGCUGACUUGUUUUCCGCUAAUAUUAAUGUUUGGUAAUUAGCGGAUUGAAACAAAGGUUUGAAUCCAAAACACUAUUUUGAGAAGUUUUUUGGGUUUAAGGUUUUGGUUUUUAUCAGAAAAAGCUAAUCAAUCAGCUAUUUACCAAACAAGUUUACGAGAAACAGUUAAUUCAAUCCGCUAGUCAAAACAUCUAAUUCAAUCCGCUAACAGUUAACCGCUGAUUCUCAAGCAGAGCCUAUGUGUUUAAUUAAGAACGGGGGAGUCUUAGAUUUUGAGUCAUGUGGGGCUGUUUAAGCAUGUUAUCCACAGGCGUAAACUAAGCAGAUAUGAUUUGUGCAGGAAAUGUUUAUUGGCGGAACAGACACAACAAGCAGCACAACUGAGUGGGCCUUGAGCGAGCUCUUACAAAACGAUGAGCAAAUGAAGAGGGUUAAAGCUGAGCUCGCCAGAGUUCUUGGAACAAAAAAAAAUCUGGAAGACAGUGACAUUUAUAAUCUUCCUUACUUGAAAGCCAUUGUGGAAGAAACUCUGCGACUCCAUCCUCCAGCACCAAUCUUACUUCC
This 1199-nucleotide long non-coding RNA is filed under the name Daucus carota (carrot). RNAcentral describes it as "long non-coding RNA (DCAR_LNC005639)". Lineage: Eukaryota; Viridiplantae; Streptophyta; Magnoliopsida; Apiales; Apiaceae. The record is from RNAcentral.